AGUCGCGUGGUCUAAUGGUUAUGAUUUCUCGUUCACACCGAGAAGGUUCUGAGUUCGAUCCUCAGCGCGACUA
Molecule: transfer RNA, 73 nt
Filed under: Opeltia flavorubescens
Lineage: Eukaryota; Fungi; Ascomycota; Lecanoromycetes; Teloschistales; Teloschistaceae
Description: tRNA-Val (CAC) (tRNA-Val-CAC-1-1)
Source: RNAcentral